UAUAAGAUCUCCAAUAGGUACAUGUUUAUUAUGAUCACUCUGAAGCUAUUUUGUGUAGUCUUCAAAGGAUUUCAAGAAAGUUUUUGCUUCAUGUCAGGGAUAAAUAAUUUUAGCAGAUACUAAUAUUUUCCAAUAAUUAUUACUGCAAUAUGAUACAAAGCAAGGAAAUGAUACAUAUGUUUGCCCUCAAAAAAUGAGACAUAGGUUCAUCCUUCAUACAACGGUAAAUUGAAGGCUGCAGAGCGAGGCAGCAAAACCUGUAAGAUGCAGCAGUCAUGUGAAGCCCGAUAGAACUGCCACCGCAAGAUCAAUCAACCAUCAUUGAGAGAGAACAAUCCUUGACCAGCAUUUAACAUCUGUCAACGAAUCCAACUCCGCUUCUACUGAUGAUAACCAAAGAACCUUACUCACAAAAGGAAACUGAUUAGACUGUUUAUAGCAGAAUAUUUUGAUCCCGGUGACCCAAAUUCAGAGCUAUGCCAUUAUUUUUGUGCAAAACCCGUUAACACAACAACAUAAAACCAAAAGUGAGAAACUCCUAUGCCAAACCGUUACAUCCUAAACUACAAUAUGUCAGCAUAUAACGUAUUCAUUUGGAUUCGAUGGCUUGUACAUGCCUGGUAUUUACUUAGAUUACGCGGUACACUUCUAGAAAGCAAUAUUUCCUAGAAGCAACAAAUGACUCAAACCUUUCACCUGCAGACCAGGAACACACGUACAUGAGUCUGCUCAAACACAUCUGCACAUGUUGGUAUUCAACCAAGUAAUUAAGUAAAAUAAUUUUGUUCUUCGAAAAAAGUAAGAUAAGCUUGCUCGUCUAUGUUAAAUAGUUAACAGGAUCAAACCUGUCCUAGAACGACCAAAUUUCAACAAAACGAAAACCUUAAAGACACACGUGCAUAUUAUAGAGAAGACUAACUAAUAGCACGUGGACAGGUUAUCUGUAAGUUAGAUAGGUUAUCUAUGCUGGUAGUUCAUAGGGUCAUACCGAGGUCGAUGAAGAGCCUGGUGACCGACAGCUAGAGUAUUGGGCAUGACUAUGGAGAUGAAUAGGUGAGAGGCAUCCCCAGCCCCUGGAGAAUCACUGGCCCAUGCUGUCCGCUGACACAACGGUCCCUGGAUCACUGUAGAAACUGUAUUGCGGAACUGAACGUGAGGAGUUCUCCACAUGAACCAACUGAUCACCUUCUUAUCCACUGGAUGUUCCAUCGUGUAUUGGUUUGCUGUGAUCUGGCAUGUAAG
This 1242-nucleotide long non-coding RNA is filed under the name Triticum aestivum (bread wheat). RNAcentral describes it as "long non-coding RNA (TAES_LNC003071)". The record is from RNAcentral. Lineage: Eukaryota; Viridiplantae; Streptophyta; Magnoliopsida; Poales; Poaceae.